AGAGUUUGAUCCUGGCUCAGGAUGAACGUUGGCGGUGUGCCUAAUACAUGCAAGUCGAACGGUGACGAUUUUGUAGCAAUACGAAUGAAAUCAUAGUGGCGAACGGGUGAGUAACGCGUUGGUGAUCUGCCUCGAAGUGUGGAAUAACUUCCCGAAAGGGUAGCUAAUACCGCAUAGUCUCUCAAGGUUAGAAAAUUGAGAGUAAAGGAUUUAUUCGCUUCGAGAGGAGCCUGCGUCCCAUCAGCUAGUUGGUAGGGUAAUAGCCUACCAAGGCAAUGACGGGUAGGGGACCUGAGAGGGUGGCCCCCCACAAUGGAACUGAAACACGGUCCAUACACCUACGGGUGGCAGCAGUAGGGAAUAUUAGAAAUGGGCGAAAGCCUGAUCUAGCAACACCGCGUGUGCGAUGAAGGCCUUCGGGUUGUAAAGCACUUUUUGGAGGGAAUAGGAAGGAAGGUACCUCCAGAAUAAGCCUCGGCUAACUACGUGCCAGCAGCCGCGGUAACACGUAGGAGGCAAACGUUAUCCGGAUUCACUGGGCGUAAAGCGCGUGUAGGUGGUUCUGUAAGUAGGGCGUGAAAGCUCCCGGCUCAACUGGGAGAGGCCGUACUAAACUGCAGAGCUAGAGGAUGGUAGAGGGAGGUGGAAUUCCAGGUGUAGUGGUGAAAUGCGCAGAUAUCUGGAGGAACACCAGUGGCGAAGGCGGCCUCCUGGACCAUUCCUGACACUCAGACGCGAAAGCUAGGGUAGCAAACGGAAUUAGAGACUCCGGUAGUCCUAGCCCUAAACGAUGCAGACUAGGCGUCGGCGGUUUAAUCACCGUCGGUGUCCAAGCUAACGCGAUAAGUCUGCCGCCUGAGGACUACGGCCGCAAGGCUAAAACUCAAAGGAAUUGACGGGUCCCCGCACAAGCAGCGGAGCGUGUGGUUUAAUUCGAUGCUCCGCGAAGAACCUUACCUGGGUUUGACAUAACAGUGGUAGAGAAGUGAAAACGGAUCGAUCCUUCGGGGAGCUGUUACAGGUGUUGCAUGCCUGUCGUCAGCUCGUGUCGUGAGAUGUUCGGUUAAGUCCGCUAACGAGCGCAACCCGCGCUGUGUGUUACAAGUGUCACACAGUACCGCCGGUAUUAAGUCGGAGGAAGGUGCGGAUGACGUCAAGUCAGCAUGACCUUUAUAUCCAGGGCUACACACACGCUACAAUGGUCAGAACAAUAGGUUGCCAAGCCGCAAGGCGGAGCCAAUCCUCCAAAUCUGGCCUCAGUUCAGAUUGCAGGCUGCAACUCGCCUGCAUGAAGUCGGAGUUGCUAGUAAUCGCGAAUCAGAAUGUCGCGGUGAAUACGUUCUCGGGCCUUGCACACAGCGCCCGUCAAG
This 1370-nucleotide ribosomal RNA is filed under the name uncultured bacterium. RNAcentral describes it as "bacterial SSU rRNA". It matches the Rfam family "Bacterial small subunit ribosomal RNA". The record is from RNAcentral.